RNAcentral lists this unclassified non-coding RNA (336 nucleotides) under uncultured Metarhizium. Its description in RNAcentral is "sequence contains ITS1". The stretch from base 1 to 105 matches the Rfam family "5.8S ribosomal RNA", at positions 50 to 154 of the family's 154-position model. The record is from RNAcentral. Lineage: Eukaryota; Fungi; Ascomycota; Sordariomycetes; Hypocreales; Clavicipitaceae.
GAAAUGCGAUAAGUAAUGUGAAUUGCAGAAUUCAGUGAAUCAUCGAAUCUUUGAACGCACAUUGCGCCCGCCAGUAUUCUGGCGGGCAUGCCUGUUCGAGCGUCAUUUCAACCCUCAAGACCCCUUCGGGGGACUUGGUGUUGGGGACCGGCACAGGGCCUGCUUGCUUGUCUCGCAGCGCCUCGCCGCCUCCGAAAUGAAUUGGCGGCCUCGUCGCGGCCUCCUCUGCGUAGUAGCACAACCUCGCAAAGGGAGCGUGACGCGGCCACUGCCGUAAAACAACCCAAUUUUAUUAGAGUUGACCUCGAAUCAGGUAGGAAUACCCGCUGAACUUAA